RNAcentral lists this ribosomal RNA (277 nucleotides) under uncultured bacterium. Its description in RNAcentral is "partial 16S ribosomal RNA". It matches the Rfam family "Bacterial small subunit ribosomal RNA", at positions 32 to 284 of the family's 1533-position model. The record is from RNAcentral.
AAUCAACGCUGGCGGCGUGCCUAACACAUGCAAGUCGAACGCGAAAGGGGCUUCGGCCCUGAGUAGAGUGGCGAACGGGUGAGUAACACGUGGGUGACCUACCUUCGAGUGGGGGAGUAACGUCCCGAACGGGACGGCUAACACCGCAUAACAUCCUGCCUUUGUAACAGGUGGGAGAUCAAAGACUGGGGAGUCGCAAGACCCGGCCGCUUGAAGAGGGGCCCGGCGUCCGAUUAGCUAGUUGGUGAGGUAAUGGCUCACCAAGGCGACGAUCGGU